ACCCAUGAUUCAGUCUAAAACCAAGCAAUUCAAGGAAGAACUCGGAGCAAAGCUUAUACACAUUUGGGGACGAACUGAGUUCUUGAGCCAGGUUGGAGAAGAUGAAUUAGAAACCUCUAUGGUUUUGAUUCAGACUCAAGAAGAUCAACAAAUGGCUAAGUGUCCCAGUUGUACACUUUUUUCCUUACCUUUGAUUUUGUCCUAAUGGGUUUUCCAAAGGAAGGUUUUUAAGGAGGCAAUGAUGAUCACUUUUACACAAGCCUACUUUGCUGGAUCAAAUCUGUUUUGAAUCACAUCUAUACAAGUCCAAGAAGACAAAAUUCGACCAAGCCCUUUGCAAAGAAGUAGAAGUGAAUUAUGGUUGAAUUACAAGCCCAAAAAUGAAAUGAAAGAGUUAGGCCCAACACCAAUUUCGACCAGAGUAGUCCAAGGGGCAUGGAUUCAGUCCAAGGGUCAUUCAAAAUCAUCAUUUAUCUCAGUCUUUGUUUGAUUUUCGAGAUGUUCUUUUAAUGUCAUGUUUAUUUUCGAGAUUGGACUUGUUUACCACAUCUCUUGUGUUCUAUUUAAGCACUUGUAAGUCCUUGGACGAAAUCAUCUAUCAUUUUUAUCAAUAAACUAUUUUGUUUUCUCUUCUCUUGUGUUCAGAGUGAUUUUCUUCAUAAGGCUUUGUUGGUGUGUCAUAUCCAGCAAGGAUUUUGAUCUCUUUGGUGUGUAAUAUCCAAAGGAUCAUUUGGUAUAUCAAAGGUCUUCCGCAGCCUUUGUGUGACCCCUCAUUUCCACAUCCCUUGAAGCAAUCUGUUGCUUGCAAGGCCUAUCCCUUUAUUUCCAGUUCUAGAGUGGCGAUCAAGGGCAGAUCCUUUCCAGGAUCACAUCAAGUGGUAUCAGAGCAAACACUCUACUCACUGGAUUUCGUUUUUCAUCAGGUUAUAUCUAUCCUUUUCAUUUCAGUUCAUUUUUAUCUGUUUAUCUUGUCUAUUUCGUGUCUAUAUCUAUCAGAGAAAACCCAGAAAAAGUUUUGCUGUUCUUAUUUUCGAUUUUUAUCUAAACCCAGUAAAGAAAACCACAAAAACAAAAAACGUUUUUGAAUCUUUGUUUGUGUCUGUUUUGGUUAGAUUCGUUUAGAUCUGUUCAUUUGCAUCAUCAUCUAAUUCUGUUAUCACUGGAUCGUCAUAGAAUCUCACCCUUGUUCAUUUGUGUCUGUUCAUCUUCUCUGUAGAAAAAUCUGAAAGUUUCUAAGUUUUUUUCUAAGGAUCAGAUUGUGUCUUUUCGUCUUCUGUGUCUAGACUAUUCUCUUUUUGAUUGUGAGGAACUUGUUACUGGUGACUUGUUUUCUUUGUGGUUUCAGGUUAAGAUGUCUUAGCCAGAAGAAGAGACCGGCAACACCUGCGACAACAAACUGUUGCUAGAAGUCUUGACAGCCCAGAUGAAGGAGAUGAUGGACGCUAAAUUAGAAGAGCUUCGUCAAAGAAAUGAAACAAAGGAGGGCACAUGAAGGAGCUCCUAAGAAAGACAGAGACAAACCGAGACAGCUUAGAUACAAAGGGGCAGAAGGUUAUGACCAUCGUGAUCAUAACUUGUUUCAAGAAGGCCAGAGGAGAUCUAGACGUGCACGAGAAGGCAGCGGUCAACUUAAUGGUGAAAUUAUUUCAUUCCAUGGGAAAAAUGAUCCAGACACCUAUCUGGAGUGGGAGAAGAAGCAAGAACUCGUUUUCAGUUAUCAGCAUUAUUCAGGGAACAAUAAGGUGCGAGUUGCAGUUGCUAGUUUCUAUGAUUAUGCCCUGAGUUGGUGGGAGCAGUUGAAGAUCUCAAGGAGACGCAAUGGAGAGAAACCAGUGGAGGCAUGGGAAGAAUUGAAAGCUAUCAUGAGAAAAAGAUAUGUCCCAAAGCUUCAAAUCAAUCGCUCUAGAAUACAAGACCAUGUUUUCAAAACCGGUGGAGAACUUGUAAUUGGUAAAGCGAAGGUUAUGAGCACCAGAUCAGCAGAGGGAGGACUAAUCACACAUGAGAAAGAUUCUGGUCGAGCCAGAAUUCCAUUUGCUCCAUCCCAAAUCCAAGGAGUUGAAGACAGACCACCCAAAAGUCAAGGAGCGCCGAAACUGACAUCAUUGGAACAAAGUCCAGAGUUAGCUAAGAUAAGUGUUGGUCCAUCUCAAUCAAUUUCUGAGAAUUUUAAUUCUAGUAUCAUACACUUGUCUUUGCCAAAAGAAAUUGAUGCAGGUUCAGAUUCUAGAGAAGAGCAAAGACAAAAAGAUGAUCUCAUCAAGGUCAAGGAGCAGAAACAAAAUAAAGAGGUUUGCAAGGAAAUAACCUGUGAGAACAAACCUGUUAGUUAUUCAAACGCCCUUGUAAGGAAUGGUGAGGACAAGAGAACUUUGUCUUCAAAAUGACCGGUGCCUAGAUUUGUUUAUAAAGAAACUCUUAAGAGUUUAACUAACCCUGUACCGGUGCUGCCGAGUAAUAUAACUUCUAUUUUGCAGGAAUUUGAAGACAACAACCCUGGAGGAUUACCACAAAUCUUUGGACUUGAACACCAAUGUGUUUUUAAACCAGGAGCACCCAGAGAGACCACUCUUUAUGUCAUACAGAGCCUAAAAGGUAAGGAACUCGUUGUGACCAAUGCAAUGAGUCAAAGGUAUGAAAUUCUAGCUGUUCCUGAAGUUAAGCUGCUAGAUUUUGAGCACACCAAUGAGUUUUACGAAUCUGGUGAUUUAAAUGUUGUGUUUCAAUCUUGUGAGAUGUCUGCAUAUGGAAAGUUCUUUGGAACUAAAAGUUUUAUGUUUGAUAAAGCUAAACCGUGUGAGCAUCACUGUUUGUUGAAAAAUUAUGUGUUAGUAUUUGAUAGACUCUCUAAGAUAAAUCACUGCAUUUUUCCUCUUGAAAAUAAAGAGGGUUUGCAAGUUCUGAAUUCAUUCAUUUAGAGUUUUAAUACUGUCUACAUGCUGGACUAUGGUGAAUUCUUUGAUGAAUAUGCAGGACUUGUUUUUGAUGCUCUAAAAGAGAAACUAUUUGCUAAAUCAGAGAAGUAUGUCUCUUGCACGUAUGAUCUUGUGUUUGGAGUCUUUGUUGUACCUUCACAGGUUAAACAGGUUGGUGACAAGAAGAAACAUGGAUCCAAAACGUGGUGGUUUUACUUGUGGCUAAAGAAGUUUACUGUUCGAUUUGUUUUCGAACCAUGGAAACAUCUGGGAACUGAUCAAUAUCAAAAUGGAGCAAACAGGAGGCAAUGCAGAAUGAUCUUUGAGCCUGGAGGAAGUUUGUGGAUUCAAAUAAGGAAUGGACGUCUUCUAACACAAACAAAGAUCAAGCUGAUUCCAAGAAGCAAUCAUGCAUUUCAAAUAUUUGAGCCGAUCAAAUUCAAAGCUUAUACGAAAAGCUUGCAAGGUAAGUAUAUUCUGAGUUUCACUUUCAGCUUUUCUAACUUAAUAUUUUUCGUUGCAGAUGAACCAGAUUUGAAGACAAAUCCUUUUCAAGUGGAGGGGGAUGAUGUGAUCAUGGCUAGCACUAAGGAGAUGAAGCUUGAACCAGAGCUUGUAGCUGAGUUUGUACCAGUUAGACCCAUGAUUCAGUCUAAAACCAAGCAAUUCAAGGAAGAACUCGGAGCAAAUCUUAUACACAUUUGGGGAUGAACUGAGUUCUUGAGCCAGGUUGGAGAAGAUGAAUUAGAAACCUCUAUGGUUUUGAUUCAGGCUCAAGAAGAUCAACAAAUGGCUAAGUGUCCCAGUUGUACUCUUUUUUCCUUACCUUUGGUUUUGUCCCAAUGGGUUUUCCAAAGGAAGAUUUUUAAGGAA
This 3788-nucleotide long non-coding RNA is filed under the name Eutrema salsugineum. RNAcentral describes it as "long non-coding RNA (ESAL_LNC001846)". Lineage: Eukaryota; Viridiplantae; Streptophyta; Magnoliopsida; Brassicales; Brassicaceae. The record is from RNAcentral.